RNAcentral lists this ribosomal RNA (598 nucleotides) under Branchinecta orientalis. RNAcentral's name for it is "SSU rRNA". It matches the Rfam family "Eukaryotic small subunit ribosomal RNA", at positions 465 to 1063 of the family's 1831-position model. The record is from RNAcentral. Lineage: Eukaryota; Metazoa; Arthropoda; Branchiopoda; Anostraca; Branchinectidae.
UAGUGACGAAAAAUAACGAUGCAGGACUCAUCCGAGGCCCUGUGAUUGGAAUGAGUACACUUUAAAUCCUUUAACGAGGACCUAUUGGAGGGCAAGUCUGGUGCCAGCAGCCGCGGUAACUCCAGCUCCAAUAGCGUAUAUUAAAGUUGCUGCGGUUAAAAAGCUCGUAGUUGGAUAUCGGUCGCGAUCAGGUGGUGCCGCCUCGCGGUGUGCACUGCCUCGAUUGGACAAUCCACCGGACUGUCCGGGGUGCUCUUAACCGAGUGUCCUGGGUGGCCGGUACGUUUACUUUGAACAAAUUAGAGUGCUUAAAGCAGGUGCUCCGCGCCUGAAUAUCACAGCAUGGAAUGAUGGAAUAGGACCUCGGUCUUAUUUUGUUGGUUUUCUGGACUUGAGGUAAUGGUUAAUAGAGACAGACGGGGGCAUUCGUACUGCGACGCUAGAGGUGAAAUUCUUGGACCGUCGCAAGACGAACAACUGCGAAAGCAUUUGCCAAGAAUGUUUUCAUUAAUCAAGAACGAAAGUUAGAGGUUCGAAGGCGAUCAGAUACCGCCCUAGUUCUAACCAUAAACGAUGCCAACCAGCGAUCCGCAGACGU